This 401-nucleotide unclassified non-coding RNA is filed under the name soil metagenome. RNAcentral's name for it is "partial contains 5.8S ribosomal RNA, internal transcribed spacer 2, and large subunit ribosomal RNA". The stretch from base 1 to 122 matches the Rfam family "5.8S ribosomal RNA", at positions 35 to 154 of the family's 154-position model. The record is from RNAcentral.
GAUGAAGAACGUAGUGAAAUGCGAUACUUGGUGUGAAUUGCAGAAUCCCGUGAACCAUCGAGUCUUUGAACGCAAGUUGCGCCCGAAGCCAUUAGGCCGAGGGCACGCCUGCCUGGGUGUCACACAUCGUUACCCUCGCGCCAACGUCCAGUGUUGGGCACGGCGCAGGGCGUAUGCUGACCUCCCGCGAGCGGGGUCUCGUGGUUGGUUGAAAAUCGAGUUCGCGGUCGAGUGGGCCGUGAUGAAAUGGUGGAUGGGCGACGCCCGAGGCCAAUCCAAUCACGCGCGACUCUGUCCGGCUUGGACUCCUGGACCCCUUGGGCGUCUCCGGACGCUCCCCAGCGAGACCUCAGGUCAGGCGGGGCUACCCGCUGAGUUUAAGCAUAUCAAUAAGCGGAGGA